Molecule: transfer RNA, 68 nt
Filed under: Odorrana banaorum
Lineage: Eukaryota; Metazoa; Chordata; Amphibia; Anura; Ranidae
Description: tRNA-Gly
Source: RNAcentral
GUCUCCUUAGUAUAGCAAUACAGAUGACUUCCAAUCAUCUAACCUUGGCGAGACCCCAGGAGGAGAUA